GACGAACGCUGGCGGCGUGCCUAAUACAUGCAAGUCGAACGCAGUGGGGACGGGUGAGUAACACGUGGGUAACCUCCCAUCAGAGGGGAUAACACUUGGAAACAGGUGCUAAACCGAUACUGAUGGAUGGACCCGGGGUACAUGAGCUAGUUGGUGAGGUAACGGCUCACCAAGGCCAAGAUGCAUAGCCCACCUGAGAGGGUGAUCGGCCAGCCUGUGACUGAGACACGACCACUACGUCUACGGUAGGAAGCAGUCGGGAAUCUUCGGCAAUGGACCAAAGUCGGACCGAGCAACGCGGCGUGAGUGCAGAAGGUUUUCGGAUCGGAAAACUAUGUUGUUAGAGAAGCGGUACCUAACCAGAAAGCCACGGCUAACUACGUGCCAGCAGCCGCGGUAAUUC
RNAcentral lists this ribosomal RNA (403 nucleotides) under uncultured bacterium. RNAcentral's name for it is "partial 16S ribosomal RNA". It matches the Rfam family "Bacterial small subunit ribosomal RNA", at positions 28 to 526 of the family's 1533-position model. The record is from RNAcentral.